UCUCGGAACUUAUCCUGCCGUGCUGAGU
RNAcentral lists this non-coding RNA (28 nucleotides) under Bombyx mori (domestic silkworm). Lineage: Eukaryota; Metazoa; Arthropoda; Insecta; Lepidoptera; Bombycidae. The record is from RNAcentral.